RNAcentral lists this ribosomal RNA (893 nucleotides) under uncultured bacterium. Its description in RNAcentral is "bacterial SSU rRNA". It matches the Rfam family "Bacterial small subunit ribosomal RNA", at positions 8 to 916 of the family's 1533-position model. The record is from RNAcentral.
AGAGUUUGAUCAUGCUCAGAUGACGCUAGCGCAGCUAAUACAUGCAGUCGACGAGAUCAGACUUCGUCCUGGUUUAGUGCGCACGGGUGCGUAACGCGUAUGCAACUACUUAAACUGGGGGAUAGCCCGGGGAAACCCGGGAUUAAUACCGCAUAAGAUCACACGAGGGCAUCUGAGAGUGAUUAAAGAUUUAUUGGUUUAAGAUGGGCAUGCGUGCCAUUAGCUAGUUGGUAGGGUAACGGCCUACCAAGGCUACGAUGGCUAGGGGUUCUGAGAGGAUGAUCCCCCACACUGGUACUGAGAUACGGACCAGACUCCUACGGGAGGCAGCAGUAGGGAAUAUUGGGCAAUGGACGGAAGUCUGACCCAGCCAUGCCGCGUGCAGGAUGAAGGCCUUCUGGGUUGUAAACUGCUUUUAUCUGGGAAGAAAACACCUAUGCGUAGGAAACUGACGGUACCAGAUGAAUAAGCACCGGCUAACUCCUUGCCAGCAGCCGCGGUGAUACGGAGGGUGCAAGCGUUGUCCGGAUUUAUUGGGUUUAAAGGGUGCGUAGGCGGCCCUGUAAGUCAGUGGUGAAAGCCUCCAGCUCAACUGGAGAACUGCCAUUGAUACUGCAGGGCUUGAGUACAGACGAGGUUGGCGGAAUUGAUUGUGUAGCGGUGAAAUGCAUAGAUACAAUCAAGAACUCCGAUUGCGUAGGCAGCUAACUAGGCUGUAACUGACGCUGAGGCACGAAAGCGUGGGGAGCGAACAGGAUUAGAUACCCUGGUAGUCCACGCCGUAAACGAUGAUUACUCGAUGUUGGCGAUACACAGUCAGCGUCUUAGCGAAAGCGUUAAGUAAUCCACCUGGGGAGUACGCCCGCAAGGGUGAAACUUAAAUGAAUUGACGG